AUACGGAGGGUGCGAGCGUUGUUCGGAAUUACUGGGCGUAAAGGGCGCGCAGGCGGCUUGAUAAGUCAGAUGUGAAAGCCCACGGCUCAACCGUGGAAGUGCAUCUGAAACUGUCUGGCUUGAGUACUGGAGAGGAAAGUGGAAUUCCUGGUGUAGAGGUGAAAUUCGUAGAUAUCAGGAGGAACACCGGUGGCGAAGGCGACUUUCUGGACAGAUACUGACGCUGAGGCGCGAAAGCGUGGGGAGCAAACAGGAUUAGAUACCCCAGUAGUCC
RNAcentral lists this ribosomal RNA (274 nucleotides) under uncultured bacterium. Its description in RNAcentral is "partial 16S ribosomal RNA". It matches the Rfam family "Bacterial small subunit ribosomal RNA", at positions 523 to 796 of the family's 1533-position model. The record is from RNAcentral.